Rhinopithecus roxellana (golden snub-nosed monkey) is the source of this 2168-nucleotide long non-coding RNA. RefSeq lists it as uncharacterized. The record is from RefSeq and is a predicted model, not a curated record. Lineage: Eukaryota; Metazoa; Chordata; Mammalia; Primates; Cercopithecidae. The transcript is spliced from 4 exons.
GUAAUGUCCCAUGCGAGGAGUGAGAGUGCUGCGGCACGUGGAAAUAGAGUCCGUACUCUGUGAGAGAUGCUGGGAGAGGAAACUGGGAGCCCGGGAGAACUAAAAUUCCCAAUUAAAGUGAAUUUAAAUCUGAGCUGUUCUUAGACCCAGAAUUUCUUGCCUGAAGGAGGAGUCAGGUCCCCACAAGAAAAGACCCUGCAACUGUAUAAAAAAAGAAUCUGAAAAGAUCGUGACUCCUUUAGUCCUUUCCCAAAGAGACCUGUGGAAAUUUCCUCAGGAGCACCCACAACAGAAUAGACAUUAAACAACUGCAUAAACAAAAUGACUCAGCCAGUUGAUGUCAGUCAGCCUGUGUCAACAGCCACCCUAAUGCUGGCACAAAGGGCACUUGAACAGAAUAGCCUGAUGGCAGAGAUGAAGUGUGCAUGGCUCCAGCAGCAUGGACUUCUCUCAUUAAGGCUGAUCUAGCUACUGUUGCUGCCCCAUGUCUAACUUGCCAGCAACAGAGACCAAAGUGGAGCCCCAGAAUCAGCACCAUUUCUCAAAGAGACCAGCUAGUCACUUGGUGGAAGAGAGACCAAGCAGAAUCCCAGAAGAGUUGAUCUCAAAGCUUAUUUUAUGAAGAAAAUUGACCUGAGUGACACAAAGUGUUGGAUUGUAGUAGAUGUCAUGUUUUGCUGCCUAGAUCUGCAUCCAGGGAUGCACCCUCGUUUCCUCAGCUUCUUCAUUUCCUCAGCUUCUGGGAGGGUUGGCAGCUGCCAUUCCCACCUGAGUCCUUUUCUAGGACUUGCCCUUGCCUGAAGAGAGCUGUGUUGCCCAACAUGAUGCCUCCUCCAAGGUACAAUCCACACCCAGUGAUUAAUAAACAGGGGUUACAAGCCCCAGUUUGGGACAACUUUACCAAGCCAACCCAGCCUCAAGGCUCUCUGCAGGAACAAGUGAAGCCAUAGUUGUGACUACAUCACAGUUCAAUUUCUCCUCUGCCCAAGCCUCCUUCCUUCAUUCCUCCACAGAUGUUGAUCCUGAGACUCCUUUCCAGUAAACUUCCUCCAUGCAAUCUUCAUCUCAGAGUCUGUUUCCUGGGUAAACUAACCUGCAACUGAUACAAAUGCCUGUUCUGUGAGAUAAAACACUAAAAGUGCAAUGCGAGUGGUAUAAAUAUUCUGCUACAGGAAUACAAAGUCAAAUAUCAUUUUUGGCUUAGGUAGUCAGAGAAUGGAGAUAUUCUGAGUUGGACUUCUGAGAUAGUGGGAUUUGAUAGGUGAAGUGGAGAUGAGAUGGCAUAAGACUAACAUAGGCAGAAUUUUGCUAAAUGAAUUGGAGAUGAAACAUCAUAAGUGCAGGUGCACAAGUAGAAAAGUAAAAUCAGAGCUCAAGGAAGGGGAAGUGAUCCAGCUGGGCAGAAACAUGGGGCCUAUAUAGAGAUAUACCAGGAAAUAAAGCUAGGACAAAUGGCAGGGUAGGACCUGAUUGUUGAGGGUCUUAAAUGCUGGGGUCAAGAUUAUGGCCUUUACUUGCAAGUUGGUUGGGCAUGAUUCUGGGAGUUUUAACAAAAGAUGUGGCAAACUCAAAGCUUCCUUUUCAUGUAAAGUAUAGAGAAGUGGAGGUUCAUAUCAUUAAAUCACUGUAAUUUCAGUGUGAACUUCCUAACAUUUUGAGCUAACCAUGAGAUAGGACAACUUAUCAAGCAAUGAGCUCUCCAUUAUCUAAACAGAAGCUAAAUUUCAAGUCCAUGUAGAGGAAAUCUUGUGUUGACUAGAAUAUAAGGUGUUUGGAGGGACUUUUCUUCUUUUUUACUGAUAUUUACUAACUUGGAUAUUUUGCUAAGUGCUUUACAGGUAUUCUUAUUUAAUCCUCACAAGGCAGUAUGGUAGAUAAUCCAUUAUAUCGAAAAUAAUGGGCCCAGCAUGGUGGCUCACGUCUGUAAUCCCAGCACUUUGGGAGGCCGAGGCGGGUGGAUCACCUGAGAUCGGGAGUUCAAGACCAGCCUGACCAACAUGGUGAAACCCUGUGUUUACUAAAAAUACAAAAAUAAGCUUGGUGUAGUAGCUCACACCUGUAGUCCCAGGUAUUUGGGAGGCUAAAGCAUGAGAAUCACUUGAAGCGGAAGUUACAGUGAGCCAAAAUCAUACCACUGGACUCCAGCCUGGGCAAUAGAAUAUGACUAG